GGGGUCGUUUGGUUUUGACAGCACGUUAAGAGGGAAUGUAAGCACGCCGAGCGUUGAAGAUUUGCUCGCUAAUCUCAAUUUUCGCGCCAAUAACUGGCAACAAUACAUCUUAUGCACUCGCUGCGUAGUCAAGGAUUACCCACAGUGCUGCUUCGCUAACAACUUCGCUUGGUUUCUUGUUAGCAUUGAAGCAUCAAGCUAAAAUCAGGUCGACAAGUUUAACGCUUCUAAAAACUUGUUCGUAUGAAGAAGAUAAGUCCGAUUCGGUUUGUUCUUGACCAAAAAUCGGGUCGAAAAUCCCAAUAAGAAAUAAGCGUGUAGAAAUCAUUUUGGCUUCGUGUUUGGACGGCGGUUCGAAUCCGCCCGACUCCAC
This 373-nucleotide transfer-messenger RNA is filed under the name Bacteroidia bacterium. It matches the Rfam family "transfer-messenger RNA". Rfam says of the family: Bacterial tmRNA, also known as 10Sa RNA or SsrA, is named for its dual tRNA and mRNA-like properties. Lineage: Bacteria; Pseudomonadati; Bacteroidota; Bacteroidia. The record is from RNAcentral.